This 632-nucleotide ribosomal RNA is filed under the name Trypetoptera punctulata. RNAcentral describes it as "partial 12S ribosomal RNA". The stretch from base 1 to 416 matches the Rfam family "Microsporidia small subunit ribosomal RNA", at positions 750 to 1311 of the family's 1311-position model. The record is from RNAcentral. Lineage: Eukaryota; Metazoa; Arthropoda; Insecta; Diptera; Sciomyzidae.
CUGAGUAGUAGUAGUUAUGUUCUUGAAACUUAAAAAAUUUGGCGGUAUUUUAGUCUAUUCAGAGGAACCUGUUCUGUAAUCGAUAAUCCACGUUGGACCUUUCUUGCUCUUGUUUUCAGUUUAUAUACCGUCGUUAUCAGAGAAUUUUAAAAGAAAAGCAAUUCUCUUUAAUUUUUAUAAGAAUUUAUAUCAGAUCAAGGUGUAGCUUAUGGGUAAGUAGAAAUGGGUUACAAUAAAGUUAUUUAUAUGGAUGUAAAUUUGAAACGCUUACUGAAAGUGGAUUUGAUAGUAAAGUUGUAUAGAUUAUCAACUUGAUUUUAGCUCUAUAAUAUGCACACAUCGCCCGUCGCUCUUAUUACUAAGAUAAGAUAAGUCGUAACAUAGUAGAUGUACCGGAAGGUGUAUCUAGAAUGACAAUUUAAAGCUUAAUAAGUAAAGCAUUUCGUUUACAUUGAAAAGAUUUUUGUGCAAAUCAUUAUAAGUUGAAUAAUUUUUAUUUAUUGAUUUUAUUUUUUUCGUUUUAAAUUACCAAAAAUAAUUUCAUAGGUUUAAGUUUUAGUAUUGUAUAAAGAAAUAAUAAUUUUUAUAAUAGAUAAUUAGUAUUGUGAAAGAACAUUGAAAUAAUUGAAAAA